GGACCCGCACAAGCGGUGGAUUAUGUGGAUUAAUUCGAUGCAACGCGAAAAACCUUACCUACCCUUGACAUGUACGGAACCCCGCAGAGAUGCGGGGGUGCCCGAAAGGGAGCCGUAACACAGGUGCUGCAUGGCUGUCGUCAGCUCGUGUCGUGAGAUGUUGGGUUAAGUCCCGCAACGAGCGCAACCCUUGCCACUAGUUGCUACAUUAAGUUGGGCACUCUAAUGGGACUGCCGGUGACAAACCGGAGGAAGGUGGGGAUGACGUCAAGUCCUCAUGGCCCUUAUGGGUAGGGCUUCACACGUAAUACAAUGGCCGGUACAGAGGGCUGCCAACCCGCGAGGGGGAGCAAAUCCCAGAAAGCCGGUCGUAGUCCGGAUUGUUCUCUGCAACUCGAGAGCAUGAAGUCGGAAUCGCUAGUAAUCGCGGAUCAGCAUGUCGCGGUGAAUACGUUCCCGGGUCUU
Molecule: ribosomal RNA, 465 nt
Filed under: uncultured bacterium
Lineage: Bacteria
Description: bacterial SSU rRNA
Rfam family: Bacterial small subunit ribosomal RNA
Source: RNAcentral